This 676-nucleotide ribosomal RNA is filed under the name uncultured Staphylococcus sp. RNAcentral describes it as "bacterial SSU rRNA". It matches the Rfam family "Bacterial small subunit ribosomal RNA", at positions 61 to 719 of the family's 1533-position model. Lineage: Bacteria; Bacillati; Bacillota; Bacilli; Caryophanales; Staphylococcaceae. The record is from RNAcentral.
GUCGAGCGAACAGAUGAGGAGCUUGCUCCUCUGACGUUAGCGGCGGACGGGUGAGUAACACGUGGAUAACCUACCUAUAAGACUGGGAUAACUUCGGGAAACCGGAGCUAAUACCGGAUAAUAUAUUGAACCGCAUGGUUCAAUAGUGAAAGACGGUUUUGCUGUCACUUAUAGAUGGAUCCGCGCCGCAUUAGCUAGUUGGUAAGGUAACGGCUUACCAAGGCAACGAUGCGUAGCCGACCUGAGAGGGUGAUCGGCCACACUGGAACUGAGACACGGUCCAGACUCCUACGGGAGGCAGCAGUAGGGAAUCUUCCGCAAUGGGCGAAAGCCUGACGGAGCAACGCCGCGUGAGUGAUGAAGGUCUUCGGAUCGUAAAACUCUGUUAUUAGGGAAGAACAAAUGUGUAAGUAACUAUGCACGUCUUGACGGUACCUAAUCAGAAAGCCACGGCUAACUACGUGCCAGCAGCCGCGGUAAUACGUAGGUGGCAAGCGUUAUCCGGAAUUAUUGGGCGUAAAGCGCGCGUAGGCGGUUUUUUAAGUCUGAUGUGAAAGCCCACGGCUCAACCGUGGAGGGUCAUUGGAAACUGGAAAACUUGAGUGCAGAAGAGGAAAGUGGAAUUCCAUGUGUAGCGGUGAAAUGCGCAGAGAUAUGGAGGAACACCAGUGGCGAA